RNAcentral lists this long non-coding RNA (757 nucleotides) under Sorghum bicolor (sorghum). Its description in RNAcentral is "long non-coding RNA (SBIC_LNC010658)". Lineage: Eukaryota; Viridiplantae; Streptophyta; Magnoliopsida; Poales; Poaceae. The record is from RNAcentral.
GAUUUACCGCACGGUUUCCACGAACAGAGACUCCAGGUCGGCCACGGCGUGAGGAAGGAGAAAGGGGCACUGGCGAACGGGGCCCGGUUGGCGGUGAGAGAACUAGUGGGGCCGACAUGUCUGCAAGGACCAGGGGAAUGGGGGAGGCGCGGGGCUGGCUGCCCAACCGGCCUCCGUGUCUACGGGCGAUGAGGUGUCUUGGCCCAAGCAGAGAGAAAAGGUGGGGAGGAAAUGGGUGGGCAGCGGGCGAGCGAACUAGGCCGGGAGCUGGUUCUGGGCCGAUGGAGAGGGAAGGGAAAGGGUUGGCCGUGCGGGGGGGGGGAGAAAGGAGAAGGGGAACUUGGGCCCGAGAGAGAGAUGGCCACUCGGGCUGAAAUAGAGAGGGGGAGGGGGAUGGCGCGGGCUCGCUGCACUGGGCUGGCCACUAGGCCGAGGGGAAGAAGCCAAGCCUUCAGGCCAGAAUCUAGGGGGUGGAAGAAGUUUCUUUUUUUUCUUUUCAUUUUCUUUUUAUUUUAAUUCAAAAUCUAUUCAAAUCCAUUUAAAAAAAUCUGUUUAAAAUAUAUUUGAACUGUGGUCAAAUUCACACAAUACAAUGAAAAUAAAUGCUCCAAAAUGAAUGCACAAACAAGUUGCUAAAUCCUAUAAUAAAUUUUAUUCAAAUGAAAAAUAUUAUUUCUCUAUGUUUCAUGAGCACAAAAAUAUAAAAUUAAAUUAUUUUUCACCUAUUUCAAAAUGAGCAAAUUUUAGGGUGUUACAU